GCAUCACUGGUUUAGUGGUAAAAUCCAUCGUUGCCAUCGAUUGGCCCCGUGUUCGAUUCACGGCUGAUGCA
Molecule: transfer RNA, 71 nt
Filed under: Blumeria graminis f. sp. tritici JIW2
Lineage: Eukaryota; Fungi; Ascomycota; Leotiomycetes; Helotiales; Erysiphaceae
Description: tRNA-Gly (GCC) (tRNA-Gly-GCC-6-1)
Rfam family: tRNA
About the family: Transfer RNA (tRNA) molecules are approximately 80 nucleotides in length. Their secondary structure includes four short double-helical elements and three loops (D, anti-codon, and T loops).
Source: RNAcentral